CUCGUAGGCGGCCUGCCAAGUCUCACGUGAAAGACCAGGGCUCAACCCUGGGAACGCGAGAGAAACUGGCAAGCUGGAAUCUUGGAGGGGGUACUGGAAUUCCUGGUGUAGGGGUGAAAUCUGUUGAUAUCAGGAAGAACACCGGAGGCGAAGGCGAGUACCUGGCCAAAGAUUGACGCUGAUGAGCGAAAGCGUAGGGUGCGAACAGGAUUAGAUACCCUGGUAGUCC
Molecule: ribosomal RNA, 229 nt
Filed under: uncultured bacterium
Lineage: Bacteria
Description: partial 16S ribosomal RNA
Rfam family: Bacterial small subunit ribosomal RNA
Source: RNAcentral